This 253-nucleotide ribosomal RNA is filed under the name uncultured bacterium. Its description in RNAcentral is "partial 16S ribosomal RNA". It matches the Rfam family "Bacterial small subunit ribosomal RNA", at positions 524 to 776 of the family's 1533-position model. The record is from RNAcentral.
UACGGAGGGGGCGAGCGUUAUUCGGAAUUAUUGGGCGUAAAGGGCGCGUAGGCGGCUUGAUGUGUCAAAGGUGAAAUCCCUCGGCUCAACUGAGGAACUGCGUCCGAUACUGGAUGGCUUGAGUUCGGGAGAGGGAUGCGGAAUUCCAGGUGUAGCGGUGAAAUGCGUAGAUAUCUGGAGGAACACCGGUGGCGAAGGCGGCAUCCUGGACCGACACUGACGCUGAGGAGCGAAAGCCAGGGGAGCAAACGGG